GCUAACUAAGUGUUUAACCCAUCGCACAUUGACCUUUCACGUCAAAAGAGCACUAUGUGCAUUUAGCU
This 68-nucleotide transfer RNA is filed under the name Cuneopsis rufescens. RNAcentral's name for it is "tRNA-Glu". The record is from RNAcentral. Lineage: Eukaryota; Metazoa; Mollusca; Bivalvia; Unionida; Unionidae.